This 665-nucleotide long non-coding RNA is filed under the name Mustela putorius furo (domestic ferret). Its description in RNAcentral is "lncRNA (ENSMPUG00000029525.1)". Lineage: Eukaryota; Metazoa; Chordata; Mammalia; Carnivora; Mustelidae. The record is from RNAcentral.
GUCUCAUGCAGCCUGCAAACCCAGCUUCUGUUUAAUUGCUUCCUCCCACUAUUGCUCUCGAAAAAAGAUGACAGAUAUCGGUUGUCCAGAGCCCACAACUGCUCUUAUCAUCCUGCAGAUGCACAGAGAGGGGCAAAGAAGGCUCUGCCAACUGAUACAAAAUUGCAUACCAGUGACUCUGAUGGGCAAAAAGAAAACACCCAUAGGAAGCCCUAACUCAGAGGUUAAUAUGUCCCACUUGGUGCCUAUUUCAAUGGCCUUGGAGCUGCCAUUCACCUGCAACUCUGAAGGACCAUGUACACCUUUACCAGGCUACCUGUGGAGUGUUCCAGGAACUUUGGCAUUGCACAGUCUCUGCAGGGAAGCUCUUAGGUGCAUCCCCCUCUCUCAGGAGCACAGCGACACACGAAGAGAAAUCUGUUCUCAGUGGCAGUGACUAUGACAACAAACGCAUUUCAUUUUCUUACUUUUAUGCACAUCAUAGACAACACCGAGGAGCUUUGGAUAUAUUUUCUACAUAGACAUUUAAGCAACUAGAGACUGCCUCCCAGCCCUAAAAUGAUUUGAACCCGUACCAUGUUAUCCUGGGAUUUAAGGGCAAGUCCGUGGGUGGGGACUAGACACAGUUAAUAAACCAGAGACUCGGGCUUUGUGACUAAGGAAGA